CUAACAAACAAACAAACCUGAAACUCAGCUCAAACUUAUAUAUUUAAUCAAUUUUCAAUCAACUACAGACGAUUUAAUGCGCUCAGGGUGAUUAGCAGUGAGAAAAAUAUAUUAUCGUUCAGUAUUGUUAUCAAGUAUGCAAGGAAUCGGACGAAGAGAAGGCGGCAAAUCAGGAAAUUCAAACUUGCCGGGUCCUUCUUUUCCCAGCAGAGCUUGAGGUAGGCGGACGUGUUCAGAGUGCUGCUGAAGUGUGUGUCUAGUGAUGUGCGGUGACGUGCAGUGUUCUCGAUUCAAAGGGAAGGCUAACUUUGGCCCUCGUGUCACUGUUGCCCCACCCUGCCCGUGGGAGUUUGGUGGACCUAGCGCAGCACUGAGUGGGGCUGUCAGGUAGCAGGCAGUUCAUUGGGAUUGCCUGCAGCUCCACUUCCUCCACAUCAGCUCUGUGCCAGGGAUGCCAGGCUCCUGCCAUCGACACAAAGCUGGUGUGCUGGAGGAACUCUGCUCCAGCACUGAAGCACGUGCGCCUCGUCUCUUCAGUAUUGGUAAGUACCCCCUUUUCAAGCCAUCGCGGGACAACGUGGGACAGCGCGGGAGCUCCAGCAUCAGCACAAAUUGUGCAGCACAAACUAUGCAAAAUGUACGGUAAAGUUUUCUUUUUUGGCGUUAGGAUAUCUAAUCUCUUGCCUUUCAGGUAACAUUAAUCUGUCCAGUCUUUGCCUUUCAGGUACCACUAACCCUUAAUUAAGUCUUUGCGGGCCCUUCCAGUUAGUUUUGUGUCAUGUAGCUUCAGGAGGAUGCAGGAAUACCAGGGAUGAAGAUAUCCCGCAUCAGCUUCUGCUAUUUAAAAAUGAUUGCGUACAACGAACACUGCUUCAAGCCAACUUCAUGAUAGCCAAUCAAGAAUAAGACCAACCUGGAGAAAUAUAUUUCCAGAGAAUGCUUAAUUCUCCCUGUUCUGUGAGAUGGAGAGGAACAAGAGAAAACAGAUGAACAUGCAGGUGUCUCUUCAGGGGAGGAGGAAUGGAAGGCACUCACUGUGAGAAGUGAGGAGAAGGGCUCCGAAACGGAGGUGGCCAGGGAGGACGCCCCUAGGAGUGACGCCAGGUCUGCCAGAGGGGAAGAGGAAGGCCAAAGC
Long non-coding RNA from Scylla paramamosain (green mud crab), 1135 nucleotides. RefSeq lists it as uncharacterized. Lineage: Eukaryota; Metazoa; Arthropoda; Malacostraca; Decapoda; Portunidae. The transcript is spliced from 6 exons. The record is from RefSeq and is a predicted model, not a curated record.